CCAAAAUGGCCGACAGUUGGACGGGGCACAAAAUGGCCGACAGUUUGGUUUAAGGCAUAAAAUGGCGGAUUGAUGGAUUGGGCACAAAAUGGCCGACAGUUUGGUUUAAGGCAUAAAAUGGUGGAUUGAUGGAUUGGGCACAAAAUGGCCGACGGUUGCGUUUGAGUCACAAAAUGGCUGAAAUCUGUAUGAGACCCAAAAUGGCUGACGGUUGGGUUUGGGGCACAAAAUGGCUGAAACUUGGAUGAGGCCCAAAAUGGCCGACGGUUGGGUUUGAGGCACAAAAUGGCUGAUUGAUGGAUUGGGCACAAAAUGGCUGACAGUUGGGUUUGGGUCACAAAAUGGCUGAAAGUUGGACGAGGCCCAAAAUGGCCGACAGUUUGGUUUAAGGCAUAAAAUGGCGGAUUGAUGGAUUGGGCACAAAAUGGCCGACAGUUGGGUUUGGGGC
Molecule: long non-coding RNA, 448 nt
Organism: Catharus ustulatus (Swainson's thrush)
Lineage: Eukaryota; Metazoa; Chordata; Aves; Passeriformes; Turdidae
Exons: 2
Source: RefSeq, a predicted model, not a curated record